GUGACAGAUGCGCUGGAAAAACCUGGGGGUCCCCCCGUUUCCGGCUCAUAAGGGUGGACGGUGCGAGCUAGCAGCAGACUACUUGGAUCUGAAGAUUCUCGGCACACCGCCCUGGUCGCCACCAGAGCCGCCGCGCGAGCAGAGGCCGCACUGGGACCAGAAAGGCGCGGCGCACAUUAGCAGCGCUUCCAGGCGCAGGACCGAGGUGUGCUCUCUCAGGGUCGCCCCCCUUCCCUUCUUUCCAAGGACCCUAACCCAGAGGGUUGCGCAUUCGCACUAGCUUUUUCUGGUUCCCUAGUGCUAAGUUACCUGAGAAACCAAAAGGACUGGUCGUGCGUAUACAUUUUCCUUUUAGAAGCGCCAUGGGUGUUGGGAUGCAGAUGUGGGUAUUUUUUAAAAUGGAACGUAAUGGGCAGGAUUCAACCAUCUGGUCACUUCCGAGGCACCUAGUGAAUUAUAUACUAAAUUUUACCCAAGUAAAUUGUAAACUCCUAAAAACUAUAUGUAAUGACUAUUGAAAAGCUAGGUUCAGUUCCUCCGCUGAUUUAUAUAGAAAUGCCAGGUAAUGUUUUAAAAGACUAUUUUUGUAAGUAUGCCAUCCUAGUACCUUGAACUACAGUGUAUUGAAUUUCUGGUUAAUAUCAGAAUUCUUCUCCAUAAUUCAAACAAAAGUACUAACUAUUAACCAGCUUUUUAUGUAUCAAGCAACUGCAUUUGUUACAUGUGAACCAUCUCGCGUAUGUGUGUGUGUGUGUGUAUAUAUAUAUAUAUAUAUAUAUAUAUAUAUAUGCACACAUAAUUAUUGUCAUUAUACAAGAAGUGUAUACAAAUUGUAGAAAAUUAUAAAAAGCAAACGAGCAAUUUGAGAGGUCACACCUGAGCGAGAUAAAGUGGCGCCAUCCUGUGAUCCAAACUCCUGGAGGCUGAGGCUGAGGCAGAGGAUCCCUUGAGCCUAGGAGUCGAGGGCCAGCCUGGGCAAACAUGGCCAGAUCCCCUCAGAAAAGAAAAUUUAAGUGACCCUAACACUUAGAAAGAGAACUAGAAAUGGGAGAAAUAAGUGAACAAUGUGUAAAAUUCAAAGUGUACAAUUCCCAAACAAGGGAAAGAAGCAAAGCAGGGCUCUGUUAUUUUAUCUCAUUAUUAUGCUAAUUUAGCUAAAUAAUGGCUUAGAAAAUAUUUUAAGGAUGCUUAUGCUGCAUUAAAAUGACAGUGUUUAAUGCGAUUUCUGAUAUCUGUAUCAGACUUGUGUUAUUGCUUUGUUUUAAGUAACCUGGGCCUUGCCUACCUCCAAUGCUUCUCAUGACUUGGCACAUUCUAGAAUAGGGACAGGCCAUGGAGAGUGAACUGUCCACACCCACUCCUCCUCUACUUGCUUGAUGGUUCUGGAGUGACCAGUGGGGAGACUGAGGUGACAGAGCUGUGCUACUUCAGAAGCCAAGGCUGGGGUGGGGAACCAAGCAGGGCCAGCAACCAUAAGGCAGUGACUUCCCUGGAUCAGUCAGAGGAACUACAACUGACCUCCAACUGGAUCUUGAAGGGACCCAGGGAUGGGGAGGUGCUGGAGGUACUGGUGGGGAUCAGGAAGAAUUAUUUUAGAAAAUAGAAAAGGAAUUUUGGAAGAAAAACAAUGCUCAUGGAGUCAGGGCCCUAGAGGGUAUUCAGAUAAGCUGUCUGUUAGAGUGAGCCACACACCUGGGAAGGAGUCAGGGAGGAGACCAAAGGAUGCUGCGUAGUAAGCAAAGGAGAAUGGCUUUUCUACUGAAAGAAUUGGGAUUCAUUAAGGAAAUUACAAUUGUGAUUAGAAUGUUCAUUUUGAUUAACAACAGUGUUCGCUACAAUCAAAAUGAGAAAUAUGUUCAAAGGAGGUGCUAUCUAGAUUAGAAAAUGUUGAUUCUUGUUAGUUUAUCAACUAAAAUAUUGCACAGUGGAAAAGAAGAGCGAAUGGCUUGCUGGAUGUAGGCUCAUUUAUCAGGAGACGGAGGCUGUGGCGUCUAGAACUCCUGCGUAGGUUUUUACCUGGGAGUGUGACUAAUGGCACAGAGAAGUUUAAUAGCGCUGGCAUAUUUCAGGAGGCUGCUGAAUAGCAGACAGUUGCAAAUACAUUAUAUUGAGGGAUCUGGUGCCAGGAUGUUCUUUGUACUAGAGAAUAUUGCAGAAAUGAUCUGCAUAUAUAUCAUGGCUCCAUGUUUACUGUUCAGACAGUAGUGUAUACAUCCUUCAAAGAUUCAAAGUCUUAAGUUUUUUGAUAAUGCCUGUUUUCAUAAGAAUCUGUAUUUUUAUUCCUAUUUAAGUGGUUGAGUUUGUGACACAUUAGAGGGGAG
RNAcentral lists this long non-coding RNA (2321 nucleotides) under Marmota monax (woodchuck). Lineage: Eukaryota; Metazoa; Chordata; Mammalia; Rodentia; Sciuridae. The record is from RNAcentral.